CCUUGAUGGCGACCGGCGCACGGGUGAGUAACGCGUAUGCAACCUGCCCGAUACCGGGGUAUAGCCCAUGGAAACGUGGAUUAACACCCCAUAGUACUUUUAUCCUGCCUGGGAUGGGAGUUAAAUGUUCAAGGUAUCGGAUGGGCAUGCGUCCUAUUAGUUAGUUGGCGGGGUAACAGCCCACCAAGACGAUGAUAGGUAGGGGUUCUGAGAGGAAGGUCCCCCACAUUGGGACUGAGACACGGUCCAA
Molecule: ribosomal RNA, 250 nt
Filed under: uncultured bacterium
Lineage: Bacteria
Description: partial 16S ribosomal RNA
Rfam family: Bacterial small subunit ribosomal RNA
Source: RNAcentral